Molecule: RNA transcript, 3278 nt
Organism: Panicum virgatum (switchgrass)
Lineage: Eukaryota; Viridiplantae; Streptophyta; Magnoliopsida; Poales; Poaceae
Exons: 5
Source: RefSeq, a predicted model, not a curated record
CCUAUAAUUUAAGCCUGUGUAUUUCCUCACUGUUAGCAGUGUAAAAGGUUUUGAUAUGUUUUCCCCUCAUACAAGCUCCAACAACAAGCCCUUGAUUUUUAUGUGCUUCUGAUUGAUGUGCUACAAGAUGUCCCCUGAUGAUUGUUUUCCUAUCAUAGCAUCCACGUUGUGACCUUGGUUGGAUUGUUGGUAAUGAGUGCAACUCAUAGAAGCUGGGAACGUGGAACAUGGCCACAUUCCUCGUUCCAUGUUCCUCGUUCCGAAGCGGGAACGGGAACGUUCCGGGAACAAUUUAGUGUAAAAAUCCUUCAUAAGCGUUGUUCCUCGUUCCGGGAACGUUCCGGUUCCGGGAACGGUUCCGGGAACAUGGCUACUAGGGUGCAACACUGCAACAGUGCAUAAGACAUAUCUUUGCAGUUAUUUGGAAAUGAUUAGAACUUUUCUCUGUCUCCCCUCUACAGUCAGCACACUUCUAAUUGUUUUGCUUUCUUUGUGCUGUAACAUUUUUCACUCAUAAAUGCAAUAUUUGUGCAAGGUUUCUGUAUACAUCAACUGCCCACCACAAGAGGGACGAUGUAUAGCGAGGAGGAUAAUUCCAUGCAAGAUGACUGGUAUUCAAACUGCUUUGAAAGAUGCCAGCAAUUUUAAUGCCCCAAUACCAGUAUCCAGUGAGGAUUUGAUUUCACUGUAGAUGCAAGCAGCACAGGCAUGUGAUGAGAAAGUAAUGUUAAAAAGAACAGAGGCUGCAUGGAGGAUUCUUCAUUUCUUGUAACAUUUGCCUCAAAUUACGCAGGUUCACCAGUCUUUGUACACUAUUACCAUGGGUAAGUAUUGAUUACGUUACCCCGCAAUCAUAUUCUGAUACAAUUCAAAUUCGUAUCAACUUUGGCAAAUCUGCAUAUUGUCCUUAGUUCUGAUGUAUCACAGCAGGGUUCUGGUUUGCUGAACAUAGUGAAAUUCUGUGUUCGCUGCCUCCAAAUUGCUGCAGUAUACUAGUUGAUAUUUCUUUUGUUGCCCAUGCUGAAGCUGUCCUGAAUCAUGAUUCCUGAAGCUGGCAUACUUGUCCUAAUUCUCCAUUUUCAGACUAAUUCCACAACUGAACAUCUGAAAUGAUUCAGUUCAGAGUGUUGCAGCGCCAACCACUGUCCUACCCAUGCUACUUAUUUGGGUUCAGAUACUUAACCAACCAAUGUGCAUUUCCGACACAACGCAUUUUUUGUGAUAAUGUGUUGAACCACUAUCGUUUCGCAAGCUUUUCCUAUAUUGUCAGAAUCCUAUUCAUGGGGAAAGUUUCCUGCUUGGUCAUGAAUAGUUUCAUGACCUUAACUCUAUGCAUGAUUAUGUUGUCCAUUCCAACUUUGAGUCAUCAUGAAUCACUUGAGAUCAAAUGUAUGCUGCCAUACAAGUACAAAAAAUAUUUUGCCCAACAAGCUGAAAUUGGCCUGAAUCGGGCAUACUUGUGCGGUGCUCCAUUCUCUUUCAGUCUGCACAGCUCUCUCUAGAAAGCUUGUGGAAGAAUGCAUCAGACCAAGAUUCCAAGCCUUUGCACCAGUGGUACAUAUAAAUGGACGUCAUUAUCUGAAUGUCACCACACAAAAUGCGCAACAGAAAGAACACCUCAAGUCCCAAUUUCUGAAGGAACAAUCACUGGGAGGAAAGACGGAUGGAAGGGAAGAGAGUUGCAGCUGCUACUCUGGGCUGCAUGCUCGUCAUGCUGUCCAUGUCCAGCCAGCCGCAGGUGGCCGGAUUCACAGGGUUCUGUGAGUGCUUCGGCAGCUGCUACCCUGGCUGCAGGGAGGGCAACCCAGCGUGGCUCUGCACAAUCAAGUGUGUAGUCCUGCGCCGUCAACUUACACAAGGUGCCCGUCGCCGCGUUCGGUGCUGGCGACUGCUCCAAGAUCUGCCUCUCCUCCAUCUGCAGCGUGGCCGAGAGAGGGACAACUGAUGCCGGUGCUGCAGCAGCUUGCGUUGAUGAUUGCACCGUGAACUGGAGCUUGUACAAGAACAAGCACACUUGACAGUGACAGGUGAUGACUCCUGAGUUGCCAGUGAAUAAUGAGGCAUGAAUUGACUGUUCACAAUUAUGAGCGAUAAUAAUACAAGUAGAUCAUGCUACAUUUCUCAAACUUGUAAUUUCAGCGAGACCCGUUUUCAGUCCACAAACUUUCAGAAUUACGGACUCUAUGUUUGUUGGUGCAUUUUGGUAAUAGGAAUGUAAUGUUAGCUCUAGGUUCCUGGACAUACUUAAUGGUCAUGGCUACCUGACGUCCCGACCCCAAGUAUUUAUUACAAAAGAACCCCUGGUGACAGCCGGGAGCGCCGAGCCCUAUAUCCAUCCGAAGCGUGGCCUCAGGAUCCCAGCCCUCCCGUAGCCAGUCACACACAGGGCGGUCGUUCAAGCCGAGGGAGCAUGGCGAACAGCGGCGCACGCGCUUCAGCUCGAGCAGCAGGCCAUGGCAGGAUGGUCGGUACCACGCCUUCUCCCGUGACGUUAUGCAACAGCACGUCCGUGAGACCGUGAAGAUGAUCACAUCCUCGUCCAGGUAAAUCUCUGCUUUCGCCGCUUGUGCAGUUUGUUUCUGACGGAAGGGUAUGGCACUUCUGAAAGAUUGGCUUUGAUCUAGCCCUCUCAACUUCUAUGUAGCUCGACUGCAUUUCUUAAGUUUUUCAUGGGUAAGUUGCAUUACAUUACCUCCAUUCAUAUCAACUUUGACAAAUCUGCCUACUGUUCUGAAUUCUGAUGAAUCACUUUCCAAAUGAAUCGACAACUGAAUAUAUGACAUUAUUCAGUUCAGAGUGUUGCAGCCAACAGCUGCCCUACCCUCCCAACCUGUUUAUGGGUCAAGAGACUUAACCAACCAAUGUGCAUUUCCAACAAAAGCAUGGUUCUGAUAAUGUUUUGAAGCAGUGUCACGCAAGCUUUUCCUGGAUUGACAAUCAGGUUCCCUGCUUGGCCCAAAAACUUCUAAAAGGCAGCGUUGAAAAGCUUCUGCCACAAUGUAUCAGAACUUCAGAAGAAGAAUCUUUGGCGAGCAUCUCGUAUCUGCAACUGUCCAUGAUUUUUUUGGCGAUUAACUGUCCAUGAAUUUGAUUCCACCUCUUUUUGAAAAAGAAUGAUUCCACGUCCUGUGGCACGAAGAGAAGACAAGGAUGGAAUGGAAGAGAGUGGCAGCCCCUGCUCUGUACCGCAUUCUUUUUUUAAAACUACUCUGUACCGCUAACACUAAUAUCAUCUGCAUGAAACACGCCGUUUUCCUUCAGACCUGAACGGUCUUCUA